GUCGUGACUGCGUGCCUUUUGAAGAAUGAGCCUGCGAGUUUGCGGUAUGUUGCGAGGUUAACCCGUGUGGGGAAGCCGUAGCGAAAGCGAGUCCGAAUAGGGCGUUGAGUAGCGUGCCCAAGACCCGAAGCGGAGUGAUCUAGCCAUGGGCAGGUUGAAGCGGAGGUAAGACUUCGUGGAGGACCGAACCCACCAGGGUUGAAAACCUGGGGGAUGACCUGUGGUUAGGGGUGAAAGGCCAAUCAAACUCCGUGAUAGCUGGUUCUCCCCGAAAUGCAUUUAGGUGCAGCGUCGUGUGUUUCUUGCCGGAGGUAGAGCACUGGAUAGGCGAUGGGCCCUACCGGGUUACUGACCUUAGCCAAACUCCGAAUGCCGGUAAGUGAGAGCGCGGCAGUGAGACUGUGGGGGAUAAGCUCCAUGGUCGAGAGGGAAACAGCCCAGAGCAUCGACUAAGGCCCCUAAGCGUGUGCUAAGUGGGAAAGGAUGUGGAGUCGCAGAGACAACCAGGAGGUUGGCUUAGAAGCAGCCACCCUUGAAAGAGUGCGUAAUAGCUCACUGGUCAAGUGAUUCCGCGCCGACAAUGUAGCGGGGCUCAAGCACACCGCCGAAGUCGUGUCAUUGCGAUAUUACCCCCAACGGGGAUCGUGAUGGGUAGGGGAGCGUCGUGUGCCGGGUGAAGCAGCCGCGGAAGCGAGUUGUGGACGGUUCACGAGUGAGAAUGCAGGCAUGAGUAGCGAUACACACGUGGGAAACGUGUGCGCCGAUUGACUAAGGGUUCCUGGGUCAAGCUGAUCUGCCCAGGGUAAGUCGGGACCUAAGGCGAGGCCGACAGGCGUAGUCGAUGGACAACCGGUUGAUAUUCCGGUACCCGCUUUGAAACGCCCAGUAUCGAAUCCAUUAAUGCUAAGGCCGUGAAGCCGGCCUGGAGUCUUCGGACAAAGGGACGUGGUGGAGCCGCCGAUCCAAGGUGGUAGUAGGUAAGCGAUGGGGUGACGCAGGAAGGUAGUCCAGCCCGGGCGGUGGUUGUCCCGGGGUAAGGGUGUAGGCCGUGUGGUAGGUAAAUCCGUCACACGUUAAGGCUGAGACCUGAUGCCGAGCCGAUUGUGGUGAAGUGGAUGAUCCUAUGCUGUCGAGAAAAGCCUCUAGCGAGUUUCAUGGCGGCCCGUACCCUAAACCGACUCAGGUGGUCAGGUAGAGAAUACCGAGGCGUUCGGGUGAACUAUGGUUAAGGAACUCGGCAAAAUGCCCCCGUAACUUCGGGAGAAGGGGGGCCAUUUCCGGUGAUGAGACUUGCUCUCUGAGCUGGGGGUGGCCGCAGAGACCAGCGAGAAGCGACUGUUUACUAAAAACACAGGUCCGUGCGAAGCCGUAAGGCGAUGUAUACGGACUGACGCCUGCCCGGUGCUGGAACGUUAAGGGGACCGGUUAGUCAUGAUUCGUCAUGGCGAAGCUGAGAACUUAAGCGCCAGUAAACGGCGGUGGUAACUAUAACCAUCCUAAGGUAGCGAAAUUCCUUGUCGGGUAAGUUCCGACCUGCACGAAUGGCGUAACGACUUCUCGACUGUCUCAACCAUAGGCCCGGUGAAAUUGCAUUACGAGUAAAGAUGCUCGUUUCGCGCAGCAGGACGGAAAGACCCCGGGACCUUUACUAUAGCUUGAUAUUGGUGUUCGGUUCGGCUUGUGUAGGAUAGGUGGGAGACUGUGAAGCGGCCACGCCAGUGGUUGUGGAGUCAUUGUUGAAAUACCACUCUGGUCGUGCUGGAUGUCUAACCUGGGUCCGUGAUCCGGAUCAGGGACAGUGUCUGGUGGGUAGUUUAACUGGGGCGGUUGCCUCCUAAAGAGUAACGGAGGCGCCCAAAGGUUCCCUCAGCCUGGUUGGCAAUCAGGUGUUGAGUGUAAGUGCACAAGGGAGCUUGACUGUGAGACUGACGGGUCGAGCAGGUACGAAAGUAGGGACUAGUGAUCCGGCGGUGGCUUGUGGAAGCGCCGUCGCUCAACGGAUAAAAGGUACCCCGGGGAUAACAGGCUGAUCUUCCCCAAGAGUCCAUAUCGACGGGAUGGUUUGGCACCUCGAUGUCGGCUCGUCGCAUCCUGGGGCUGGAGUCGGUCCCAAGGGUUGGGCUGUUCGCCCAUUAAAGCGGUACGCGAGCUGGGUUUAGAACGUCGUGAGACAGUUCGGUCCCUAUCCGCUGUGCGCGUAGGAGUCUUGAGAAGGGCUGUCCCUAGUACGAGAGGACCGGGACGGACGAACCUCUGGUGUGCCAGUUGUCCUGCCAAGGGCAUGGCUGGUUGGCUACGUUCGGAAAGGAUAACCGCUGAAAGCAUCUAAGCGGGAAGCCUGCUUCGAGAUGAGGACUCCCACCCCCUUGAGGGGUUAAGGCUCCCAGUAGACGACUGGGUUGAUAGGCCAGAUAUGGAAGCGCCGUAAGGUGUGGAGUUGACUGGUACUAAUAGGCCGAGGGCUUGUCCUC
Molecule: non-coding RNA, 2471 nt
Organism: Streptomyces auratus AGR0001
Lineage: Bacteria; Bacillati; Actinomycetota; Actinomycetes; Kitasatosporales; Streptomycetaceae
Source: Rfam